RNAcentral lists this long non-coding RNA (1874 nucleotides) under Musa acuminata (dwarf banana). RNAcentral describes it as "long non-coding RNA (MACU_LNC009644)". The record is from RNAcentral. Lineage: Eukaryota; Viridiplantae; Streptophyta; Magnoliopsida; Zingiberales; Musaceae.
CAACUCAACUAAACCAUAACCACAUCAUAAAUCCAUAAGCGUAGCAAUCUAUACAAUCACAAAACCAACAUGUAUUACAUGUUUAUAUCAUUACACAGUUUAAACUUUAACAUUCCCAAAAUCCCAACGCAAGAGGUACUUUCCAAAUAUUUACAAGAUACAUAAAUCUAGAUUUGUCGUUGAUACACACAAAAGAACUUAUACAAUAUCAACUUAUUAAUUACGAAAGAUUUGCCCCAAAACCUUCUAGCUUUCCACUGCCUCAACCCAAUUCUAGCUUUUCAGUGCAUAACAAGCUACCUUGAAAAAUUUAUAUAGCAACGGGGUGAGCAUAAAGAGCUCAGCAAGCGACUAACAUAUCCAUGGCGAUAGGAGAAGUUCAAGCAGGCUUAGUAUCAAGAUAACAAAAGCAGAAAUACAAGUGUUCAUUUGAAGUCAUCUCAUUUGAUAUAAAAUCACAAAGGUUUACCUCGUUUAAAAACAGGCAUUAGACAUAACAAUAGGAGAAAGGAAAUUGGAGCAUGUCAUUGGCAUAAGGAGCAUAUCGAUGACAUAUGAUAAUUUCAAGGCAUAACAAAGACGUAAGGAGCAUUUUGGAUAUCUAUGGCAUAUGAAACAGUUCGGAACAUAUCAAUGGUGAAUGAAAUGCUUCAGAACAUAUCAAUGGCAUAUGGAAAUAUUUCGGAAGCAUAAGAAGCAUUUCAGAACAUAUCAAAAAACAAUUAUGAAAUAGAAGCUCAAACGUCGUACUCUAGCAUAGUGCAUGUUAGGAUUAACUCAGUGGUGGCUCCACACCGUGAUGAGUUCUCGACUCCAUCCACGGGUAGCCCUUUCCUACUCGAGCCCUCUCACCCUGCCCAAGUGCUAGGUCGGCUCUAAAUUUUAUAUCAAACAGAUAGAAGGUGAAGUGGGAUCAUAACAUAAUAUGGUCCAUCCAUUUCUGGAUGACCACCAAGCAUAAGUCUCCCACGUCUGGGAGCUCCAUCCACCCACGUCUGAGUGAAGUCAAUGGGGCCGGCAGAGCAAUCGCGGGCUCUAAGCAUAACUCCCUUUACCAUUUCUGGCAAAGGUUCACAAUAUCCCACAAGACACCAGAGUACAAAAAGGGUAGUAUGAACAAUAACAUUGACACAUAUCAGAAGUACAUGCGGAACAACGAAGAUAUGCAUGUGCCUUUAUCAAACAAGGAAAUGCAAAUAAAGCAUUACAUAAUAAAUUUCAGUUAUACAAUAAUUUCAGGAUGAACAAUACAAGAACUUCAAAGGACUAAUAUAAAGCUCAAUUGAAGAAGAAUUUAGCAGAAAUCAUAUUUCCAAUAGGAUAAAAAUUGAAUAGGCAAAACCCAACAAAGUUUUCAAUUCUGAUAGAAUUUGAAUGGUACAUUUCCUGAAUUGUUUGAGUGACCAACCAUGCUCCAAAUCACUAAAAAUAGAUGUCAUUGGAAAGCUGUAUCAAUCUAUUUUCGGAUGAACUUAGAUUUAUAAUUUUUUGAGUUCUUAACAGGAAGUUACAACAAAUAGAGUAAAGGAAGGUCAGAAUUGAUCAUCUCUGUUUUGCAGAAUUGAUAGAGUCAAUUUAAACAGAUGUUUUAGAAGGCAAACGUACUUCAAAAUUACUAAAUUAUAUGUCAAAAGAAAGAUAUGCGAAUCUAGUUUCAAAAGAACUAAGCUUUGUAUAAUUCAGAAUUUUCUCUAGAGAGUUAUAAGCAAUUUAGUAAUAGAAGGUCAGAUAUUUCAGUCCCUAUUUUGCAGAAUCUGUAGGGUUAAUUGAAACAGAAGUCAUAGUAGGCAUUUAAACUCCAAAUCAUUCAAUAUUAGUAUCAAAAUAAAGAUAUUUGAGUCUACUUUCAAAUGGAUUAGGUUUUGCAUAAAUCA